CAUGGCCUCUUGCAACCCGCAAAUAAGAGGUCCAACCUGCCCAGUGACAAUAAGUUUAACGGCCGCGGUAUUUUAACCGUGCUAAGGUAGCGUAAUCACUUGUCUUUUAAAUGAAGACCCGUAUGAAAGGUGUCACGAGGGCCCUCCUGUCUCCUACUUCAAGUCUAUGAAAUUGAUCUGCCCGUGCAGAAGCGGGCAUACCCCCAUAAGACGAGAAGACCCUGUGGAGCUUAAGACUAUAACCAAUCAUGCCUAGUAACCUAUCCACCAAAUGGCACAAAAGGUCCAAUAAGCUUAAUGACAAUGGUUUACUGUCUUCGGUUGGGGCGACCAUGGGGGACAGAAAAGCCCCCAAGAAGAAGCAGGGGACCAAUUACACCGAUCCCUAAGAGUCAAGAGCUACAACUCUAAACAACAGAAAUAUCUGACUAAUAAUGAUCCAGGUAACAAACCUGAUCAACGGACCAAGUUACCCCAGGGAUAACAGCGCAAUCCUUUCCCAGAGCCCAUAUCGCCGAAAGGGUUUACGACCUCGAUGUUGGAUCAGGACAUCCUGGUGGCGAAAAUUCUACCAAGGGUUCGUUUGUUCAACGAUUAAAGUCCUACGUGAU
This 611-nucleotide ribosomal RNA is filed under the name Petrocephalus simus. RNAcentral describes it as "partial 16S ribosomal RNA". It matches the Rfam family "Bacterial large subunit ribosomal RNA", at positions 1814 to 2604 of the family's 2925-position model. Lineage: Eukaryota; Metazoa; Chordata; Actinopteri; Osteoglossiformes; Mormyridae. The record is from RNAcentral.